GAUGAACGCUGGCGGCGUGCCUAAUACAUGCAAGUCGAGCGAACAGAUGAGGAGCUUGCUCCUCUGACGUUAGCGGCGGACGGGUGAGUAACACGUGGAUAACCUACCUAUAAGACUGGGAUAACUUCGGGAAACCGGAGCUAAUACCGGAUAAUAUAUUGAACCGCAUGGUUCAAUAGUGAAAGACGGUUUUGCUGUCACUUAUAGAUGGAUCCGCGCCGCAUUAGCUAGUUGGUAAGGUAACGGCUUACCAAGGCAACGAUGCGUAGCCGACCUGAGAGGGUGAUCGGCCACACUGGAACUGAGACACGGUCCAGACUCCUACGGGAGGCAGCAGUAGGGAAUCUUCCGCAAUGGGCGAAAGCUUGACGGAGCAACGCCGCGUGAGUGGUGAAGGUCUUCGGAUCGUAAAACUCUGUUAUUAGGGAAGAACAAAUGUGUAAGUAACUAUGCACGUCUUGACGGUACCUAAUCAGAAAGCCACGGCUAACUACGUG
This 497-nucleotide ribosomal RNA is filed under the name uncultured bacterium. RNAcentral's name for it is "partial 16S ribosomal RNA". It matches the Rfam family "Bacterial small subunit ribosomal RNA", at positions 28 to 507 of the family's 1533-position model. The record is from RNAcentral.